This 497-nucleotide ribosomal RNA is filed under the name uncultured beta proteobacterium. Its description in RNAcentral is "bacterial SSU rRNA". It matches the Rfam family "Bacterial small subunit ribosomal RNA", at positions 1006 to 1505 of the family's 1533-position model. Lineage: Bacteria; Pseudomonadati; Pseudomonadota; Betaproteobacteria. The record is from RNAcentral.
AGGUCGGGGUGCUCGAAAGAGAACCGUCACACAGGUGCUGCAUGGCUGUCGUCAGCUCGUGUCGUGAGAUGUUGGGUUAAGUCCCGCAACGAGCGCAACCCUUGUCCCUAGUUGCUACGCAAGAGCACUCUAGGGAGACUGCCGGUGACAAACCGGAGGAAGGUGGGGAUGACGUCAAGUCCUCAUGGCCCUUAUGGGUAGGGCUUCACACGUCAUACAAUGGCCGGUACAGAGGGUUGCCAAAGCGCGAGCUGGAGCCAAUCCCCAUAAAAGCCGGUCGUAGUCCGGAUUGCAGUCUGCAACUCGACUGCAUGAAGUCGGAAUCGCUAGUAAUCGCGGAUCAGCAUGUCGCGGUGAAUACGUUCCCGGGUCUUGUACACACCGCCCGUCACACCAUGGGAGUGGGUUCUACCAGAAGUAGGUAGGCUAACCGCAAGGGGGCCGCUUACCACGGUAGGAUUCAUGACUGGGGUGAAGUCGUAACAAGGUAACCGUAA